UAACCCGCACCACUGAUCGUGGUGGGAGACAGUGUCAGAUGGGCAGUUUGACUGGGGCGGUCGCCUCCUAAAAGGGAACGGAGGCGCCCAAAGGUUCCCUCAGAAUGGUUGGAAAUCAUUCGAAGAGUGUAAAGGCAGAAGGGAGCUUGACUGCGAGACCAACAAGUCGAGCAGGGACGAAAGUCGGGCUUAGUGAUCCGGUG
RNAcentral lists this ribosomal RNA (203 nucleotides) under Enterococcus durans. RNAcentral's name for it is "partial 23S ribosomal RNA". It matches the Rfam family "Bacterial large subunit ribosomal RNA", at positions 2223 to 2425 of the family's 2925-position model. The record is from RNAcentral. Lineage: Bacteria; Bacillati; Bacillota; Bacilli; Lactobacillales; Enterococcaceae.